Long non-coding RNA from Helianthus annuus (common sunflower), 435 nucleotides. RefSeq lists it as uncharacterized. The record is from RefSeq and is a predicted model, not a curated record. Lineage: Eukaryota; Viridiplantae; Streptophyta; Magnoliopsida; Asterales; Asteraceae. The transcript has 2 exons.
GCCCAUUUCAAAAAGCACUCAAACCCUAUCUAUAAAACCCAACACAUGAAUAAUAAGUCAUAUCCUCAUCUGUUGAGGUAACACCUACAGCAAAGAAACAUGGUGACAAGAGCCACUUUAGCAAGGUUUCUGGUGUGGUUCCUAGUGGUGGCUUCAACGGCUGCAUCGACCUAUGCGACUUCAGGUCCCAAAGUACUUCAUCCUGCUGCUGAUACCAGCAUUCAUCCCCAAGCUGGUUGUCGCUGCUGCAACUUCGUUUACCAGAAACCAUUCAUACAGUGCGGGAGAGUCUGUUGUGUAGAUGGAUGCUGCUGACUAGAGCUUCAACACGAUAUCAAUCGCUAAUAAAAUAUUGUAAUCUUUCGCCUGUACACAGGACGGAAACUUGUUUUGGAAGAUUAAAAUAAACGCGAAGGAAGUGUUACUGGUUGUUCA